GACGAACGCUGGCGGCGUGCUUAACACAUGCAAGUCGAACGGAAAGGCCCUGCUUUUGUGGGGUGCUCGAGUGGCGAACGGGUGAGUAACACGUGAGUAACCUGCCCUUGACUUUGGGAUAACUUCAGGAAACUGGGGCUAAUACCGGAUAGGAGCUCCUGCUGCAUGGUGGGGGUUGGAAAGUUUCGGCGGUUGGGGAUGGACUCGCGGCUUAUCAGCUUGUUGGUGGGGUAGUGGCUUACCAAGGCUUUGACGGGUAGCCGGCCUGAGAGGGUGACCGGCCACAUUGGGACUGAGAUACGACCCAGACUCCUACUGGAGGCAGCAGUGAAGAAUAUUCCACAAUGGGCGGAAGCCUGAUGCAGCAACGCCGCGUGCGGGAUGACGGCCUUCGGGUUGUAAACCGCUUUCGCCUGUGACGAAGCGUGAGUGACGGUAAUGGGUAAAGAAGCACCGGCUAACUACGUG
Molecule: ribosomal RNA, 468 nt
Filed under: uncultured bacterium
Lineage: Bacteria
Description: partial 16S ribosomal RNA
Rfam family: Bacterial small subunit ribosomal RNA
Source: RNAcentral